ACGAGCACAACAAGAAACAGAAUGUGCUUUUGGAGUUUGCGCGUGUUGUGAAGGCGAGGGAGCAAGUUGUCGCUGGAACUCUGCAUCACUUGACGGUGGAGGCAGUUGAGGGAGGGGAGAAGAAGAUCGAUGGAAUCGCUAUUUUGGUGCCGUUAUUUUGGUGUUCAUUAUUGUGCCGUUAUUUUGGACACGAAUCGGGUCUCCGAGGUUGGAAGACCUCCGCCGCAAGGAAGGGAGCGAACUGCCGAAGCCC
Molecule: long non-coding RNA, 253 nt
Organism: Zingiber officinale
Lineage: Eukaryota; Viridiplantae; Streptophyta; Magnoliopsida; Zingiberales; Zingiberaceae
Exons: 3
Source: RefSeq, a predicted model, not a curated record